CCGGAGUAGCUCAGUUGGUAGAGCAGAGGACUGAAAAUCCUCGUGUCACCAGU
This 53-nucleotide transfer RNA is filed under the name Ephemeropsis trentepohlioides. RNAcentral describes it as "partial tRNA-Phe". It matches the Rfam family "tRNA", at positions 2 to 52 of the family's 71-position model. Rfam says of the family: Transfer RNA (tRNA) molecules are approximately 80 nucleotides in length. Their secondary structure includes four short double-helical elements and three loops (D, anti-codon, and T loops). Lineage: Eukaryota; Viridiplantae; Streptophyta; Bryopsida; Hookeriales; Daltoniaceae. The record is from RNAcentral.